RNAcentral lists this ribosomal RNA (234 nucleotides) under Stutzerimonas stutzeri. RNAcentral describes it as "Pseudomonas stutzeri partial 23S ribosomal RNA". It matches the Rfam family "Bacterial large subunit ribosomal RNA", at positions 2714 to 2925 of the family's 2925-position model. The record is from RNAcentral. Lineage: Bacteria; Pseudomonadati; Pseudomonadota; Gammaproteobacteria; Pseudomonadales; Pseudomonadaceae.
GUUCCGGUUGUCCCGCCAGUGGCAUUGCCGGGUAGCUAUGUUCGGAAGAGAUAACCGCUGAAAGCAUCUAAGCGGGAAACUUGCCUCAAGAUGAGAUCUCACUGGAGCCUUGAGCCCCCUGAAGGGCCGUCGAAGACUACGACGUUGAUAGGUUGGGUGUGUAAGCGCUGUGAGGCGUUGAGCUAACCAAUACUAAUUGCCCGUGAGGCUUGACCAUAUAACACCCAAACAAUU